This 435-nucleotide ribosomal RNA is filed under the name uncultured bacterium. Its description in RNAcentral is "partial 16S ribosomal RNA". It matches the Rfam family "Bacterial small subunit ribosomal RNA", at positions 29 to 507 of the family's 1533-position model. The record is from RNAcentral.
AGCGAACGCUGGCGGCAGGCUUAACACAUGCAAGUCGAGCGGGCAUAGCAAUAUGUCAGCGGCAUACGGGUGAGUAACGCGUGGGAACGUACCUUUAGGUUCGGAACUACUGAGGGGAACUUCAGCUAAUACCGGAUAAGCCCUUACGGGCAAAGAUUUAUCGCCGAAGGAUCUGGCCGCGUCUGGUUAGUUAGUUGGUUGGGUAAUCGCGUACCAAAGUGACUAUCUGUAGCUGGUCUGAGAGGCUGAUCAGCCACAUUGUGACUGAGACACGGCCCGAACUCCUACGGGAGGCAGGAGUGGGGAAUAUUGGACAAUGGGCGCAAGCAUGAUCCAGCCAUGCCGCGUGAGUGAUGAAGGCCCUAGGGUUGUAAAGCUCUUUUGUGCGGGAAGAUAAUGACGGUACCGAAAGAAUAAGCCCCGGCUAACUUCGUG